This 694-nucleotide ribosomal RNA is filed under the name uncultured bacterium. RNAcentral describes it as "bacterial SSU rRNA". It matches the Rfam family "Bacterial small subunit ribosomal RNA", at positions 32 to 715 of the family's 1533-position model. The record is from RNAcentral.
AACGCUAGCUACAGGCUUAACACAUGCAAGUCGAGGGGNAGCAAGAGANAAGCUUGCUUCUAUUGCNGNCGACCGGCGCACGGGUGAGUAACGCGUAUCCAACCUUCCGUACACUCAGGGAUAGCCUUUCGAAAGAAAGAUUAAUACCUGAUGGUAUGAUGAGAUUGCAUGAUAGCAUCAUUAAAGAUUUAUCGGUGUACGAUGGGGAUGCGUUCCAUUAGGUAGUAGGCGGGGUAACGGCCCACCUAGCCAACGAUGGAUAGGGGUUCUGAGAGGAAGGUCCCCCACAUUGGAACUGAGACACGGUCCAAACUCCUACGGGAGGCAGCAGUGAGGAAUAUUGGUCAAUGGACGGGAGUCUGAACCAGCCAAGUAGCGUGAAGGAUGAAGGUCCUACGGAUUGUAAACUUCUUUUAUAAGGGAAUAAACCCUCCCACGUGUGGGAGCUUGUAUGUACCUUAUGAAUAAGCAUCGGCUAACUCCGUGCCAGCAGCCGCGGUAAUACGGAGGAUGCGAGCGUUAUCCGGAUUUAUUGGGUUUAAAGGGAGCGCAGACGGGUCGUUAAGUCAGCUGUGAAAGUUUGGGGCUCAACCUUAAAAUUGCAGUUGAUACUGGCGUCCUUGAGUGCGGUUGAGGUGUGCGGAAUUCGUGGUGUAGCGGUGAAAUGCUUAGAUAUCACGAAGAACUCCGAUUG